UUUCUCUCUCUACAAAGGAAUCGCCGUUUUGCGCCGAUUUCGCGUCCCGUUCGACGCUCGCUGGUUAGGUGGACUUGGGGCCAGCUUUUAAAAGUGUCGGAUUUUGAGCCAUUUUGGUGUUGUUGCUCCUGGCUGAUUUGGAGAGGGAUUGCAGCAGCUAAAGAGGAGUUCCUCAGCUGUGAAUUAGACCAGGGAUAAACUACUUCAAGGCUGGACUAAGUAGGUUUGCGGAUUAAUUUAAGCUUAAUUGAUGACCUUGGGGACUGGUUAGAAGGUGUUCUAACCUGAGCGGACUUGCGACGGACUUUCGGAUUACCUCCUGCUGAUGCGUAAAGGCUUUUAGAAGCUUAACUUGAGCAAAGUUGGGACUCCGUUGAGUAGAGUUUCGGGACUUCUUAUGGCUGGAUUGAGCUUCAUAAUAGAGCCUUCCACCCCGGGAAAGGCUAGGGUUCUUGGCGAG
Molecule: long non-coding RNA, 460 nt
Organism: Ananas comosus (pineapple)
Lineage: Eukaryota; Viridiplantae; Streptophyta; Magnoliopsida; Poales; Bromeliaceae
Exons: 6
Source: RefSeq, a predicted model, not a curated record